GACGAACGCUGGCGGCGUGCUUAACACAUGCAAGUCGAACGGAAAGGCCCUGCUUUUGUGGGGUGCUCGAGUGGCGAACGGGUGAGUAACACGUGAGUAACCUGCCCUUGACUUUGGGAUAACUUCAGGAAACUGGGGCUAAUACCGGAUAGGAGCUCCUGCUGCAUGGUGGGGGUUGGAAAGUUUCGGCGGUUGGGGAUGGACUCGCGGCUUAUCAGCUUGUUGGUGGGGUAGUGGCUUACCAAGGCUUUGACGGGUAGCCGGCCUGAGAGGGUGACCGGCCACAUUGGGACUGAGAUACGGCCCAGACUCCUACGGGAGGCAGCAGUGGGGAAUAUUGCACAAUGGGCGGAAGCCUGAUGCAGCAACGCCGCGUGCGGGAUGACGGCCUUCGGGUUGUAAACCGCUUUCGCCUGUGACGAAGCGUGAGUGACGGUAAUGGAUAAAGAAGCACCGGCUAACUACGUGCCAGCAGCCGCGGUGAUACGUAGGGUGCGAGCGUUGUCCGGAUUUAUUGGGCGUAAAGAGCUCGUAGGUGGUUGAUCGCGUCGGAAGUGUAAUCUUGGGGCUUAACCCUGAGCGUGCUUUCGAUACGGGUUGACUUGAGGAAGGUAGGGGAGAAUGGAAUUCCUGGUGGAGCGGUGGAAUGCGCAGAUAUCAGGAGGAACACCAGUGGCGAAGGCGGUUCUCUGGGCCUUUCCUGACGCUGAGGAGCGAAAGCGUGGGGAGCGAACAGGCUUAGAUACCCUGGUAGUCCACGCUGUAAACGGUGGGUACUAGGUGUGGGGUCCAUUCCACGGGUUCCGUGCCGUAGCUAACGCUUUAAGUACCCCGCCUGGGGAGUACGGCCGCGAGGCUAAAACUCAAAGGAAUUGACGGGGCCCCGCACAAGCGGCGGAGCAUGCGGAUUAAUUCGAUGCAACGCGUAGAACCUUACCUGGGUUUGACAUGGAUCGGGAGUGCUCAGAGAUGGGUGUGCCUCUUUUGGGGUCGGUUCACAGGUGGUGCAUGGCUGUCGCCAGCUCGUGUCGUGAGAUGUUGGGUUAAGUCCCGCAACGAGCGCAACCCUUGUUCACUGUUGCCAGCACGUUAUGGUGGGGACUCAGUGGAGACCGCCGGGGUCAACUCGGAGGAAGGUGGGGAUGACGUCAAGUCAUCAUGCCCCUUAUGUCCAGGGCUUCACGCAUGCUACAAUGGCUGGUACAGAGAGUGGCGAGCCUGUGAGGGUGAGCGAAUCUCGGAAAGUCGGUCUCAGUUCGGAUUGGGGUCUGCAACUCGACCUCAUGAAGUCGGAGUCGCUAGUAAUCGCAGAUCAGCAACGCUGCGGUGAAUACGUUCCCGGGGCU
This 1346-nucleotide ribosomal RNA is filed under the name uncultured bacterium. Its description in RNAcentral is "partial 16S ribosomal RNA". It matches the Rfam family "Bacterial small subunit ribosomal RNA", at positions 28 to 1381 of the family's 1533-position model. The record is from RNAcentral.